This 606-nucleotide ribosomal RNA is filed under the name uncultured bacterium. RNAcentral describes it as "bacterial SSU rRNA". It matches the Rfam family "Bacterial small subunit ribosomal RNA", at positions 845 to 1451 of the family's 1533-position model. The record is from RNAcentral.
GGCGCAGCUAACGCAUUAAGUUAUCCGCCUGGGGAGUACGGUCGCAAGAUUAAAACUCAAAGGAAUUGACGGGGGCCUGCACAAGCGGUGGAGCAUGUGGUUUAAUUUGAAGCAACGCGCAGAACCUUACCAGCCUUUGACAUCCUAGGACGGUUUCUGGAGACAGACUCCUUCCCUUCGGGGACCUAGUGACAGGUGCUGCAUGGCUGUCGUCAGCUCGUGUCGUGAGAUGUUGGGUUAAGUCCCGCAACGAGCGCAACCCUCGUCCUUAGUUGCCAUCAUUUAGUUGGGCACUUUAAGGAAACUGCCGGUGAUAAGCCGGAGGAAGGUGGGGAUGACGUCAAGUCCUCAUGGCCCUUACAGGCUGGGCUACACACGUGCUACAAUGGCAUCUACAGUGGGCAGCUAUCCCGCAAGGGUGAGCUAAUCUCCAAAAGAUGUCUCAGUUCGGAUUGUCCUCUGCAACUCGAGGGCAUGAAGGCGGAAUCGCUAGUAAUCGCGGAUCAGCAUGCCGCGGUGAAUACGUUCCCAGGCCUUGUACACACCGCCCGUCACACCAUGGGAGUUGGAUUCACCCGAAGGCAGUGCGCUAACCGCAAGGAGGCA